This is a long non-coding RNA of Nannospalax galili (Upper Galilee mountains blind mole rat), 1266 nucleotides long. RefSeq lists it as uncharacterized. The record is from RefSeq and is a predicted model, not a curated record. NCBI's taxonomy places the organism in Eukaryota, Metazoa, Chordata, Mammalia, Rodentia, Spalacidae. The transcript is spliced from 4 exons.
GAGGCAGGCUGGAUGGCCGCUGCAGUAGCAGCUGCUCCAGCAGAGGCCAGCUCCGCCUCCCCCGACCGCCGGCAUUCCUUAGGGAGGCGGGAGCCGGGAUGGGGCUUGUUGGGGCCUCUGCUGGCGGGCCGCAAUGACGCUUGACCCCCUACAAGCCUGGCCUGGUUUGCUUUCCUGAGACCCCAGCACUGAAGGCCAGCGGUGAAGAAGGCUGAACUAGGAGGAUGACCACGAGUUCCAGGACAGCCAGGGCUACACAGCAAGACCUUGUCUUUAAGAGAAAAAACCGGGGAUGGGGGGCACCUGUGUGGAGGUCAGAGGACAGCUUAUGACAGUUCAUUUCCUCCUUCCACCAUGUGGGUUCAGAAAAUCCAACUAUGAUCACCAGGGUUGGUGGCAAGUCCUGUUACUGCUGAGCCCUCUUGACAGCCCUGGGAGAUGCUGUUGAUCCAUGUGUUUCUCAGAUGUUCAAUAUAGCAGGAGCCAGAACAGCUGGGCGCCAUAGUAUUCUCUCACGCCUCGAAUUGGGGACAAGGAAGAAAGUGCUGAUGGUGAGCUGUGGGAGCAGCUGUUCCAGAAACUGAACAAUUUCACAACACCCAUCCAGACUGCCAUGAGGUAUUCCCCUCCCCAAACUGUUUAGACAUUAACUCAGCCGGGACAAGCCAAAGCCAACAGUCCAGGGUUGUGACACAGAAGAGUCAUAUACCUGCUGCCUUGGGCUCUCUAUGGAUCAGUCUUGGAUCCUGGGCUUCUUUCUGAUCCUCAUGAGCAGCCAUCUGAGCCACACCAACCUGCUGUACAUCCUGGUGGUCCCCCAAGUCAUGAGGGUUGGCAGCACUGAGAACACCAGCAUCCAAGCACAUCGGACACCAUGCAGUCACUGCACACGCCUCUCAGGGCGAAUGUCACCAUGUGGGACUUUCCCCUGAGGAAGAUGAUAUUGACCUGGAGCAAGCUCACUCUGUCCCCAGAAAAUAACUUCAUGGUUCAAUUGCCUGUGAUGGUGGGUGAUGAAGAUGGGUGGUCAUAAAAGGUGACUCUGGGUCAGCAGAAAGGGUGCAGAUGAGCAGGCACUACAGGGAACUUCCCACAGGGACAAUGUAUGCAUUUAGUGAUUCUCUCAAGUCUUGCCCAUUUAGAUAUCAAAAGCCUCCCAGAGCCUGGAAUCUAGGAAAGGCUUUUUGCUUAAAGCACUGACUCCUACAAUGCUUCUGUAAAUUAUGGAAGAUGCCCUCUGCUGGUAACUUGGGAAACUGACGUGAA